Molecule: non-coding RNA, 227 nt
Organism: Oncorhynchus mykiss (rainbow trout)
Lineage: Eukaryota; Metazoa; Chordata; Actinopteri; Salmoniformes; Salmonidae
Source: RefSeq, a predicted model, not a curated record
CAUCGACAAAAGAGGAGGAAGAGGAGGACACUGGAUAUCUGGGCCCGGUUUCCCCAACGCAUCUUAACGCAUCCUAUGGUUCUAACGGUGAACUCAGCCGUAAGAUGGUUUUGAGAAACCGGGCCGUGAUUAACACUAGGACAACCUAGGAUUUAAACAGCAACAAAAUGGCUGCCCUGAGACUUGGUUUGGUAAACAGCUGAGGGAAAGUCCAGACCUGAAUCCAA